CAGUAGCCGCGGGAAUACGAAGGGGGCUAGCGUUGUUCGGAUUUACUGGGCGUAAAGGGCGCGUAGGCGGAUUUGUAAGUCAGGGGUGAAAUCCCGAGGCUCAACCUCGGAACUGCCUUUGAUACUGUGGAUCUUGAGUCCGGGAGAGGUGAGUGGAACUGCGAGUGUAGAGGUGAAAUUCGUAGAUAUUCGCAAGAACACCAGUGGCGAAGGCGGCUCACUGGCCCGGAACUGACGCUGAGGCGCGAAAGCGUGGGGAGCAAACAGGAUUAGAUACCCCCGUAGUCCCUGUCUCUUAUAC
This 301-nucleotide ribosomal RNA is filed under the name uncultured bacterium. Its description in RNAcentral is "partial 16S ribosomal RNA". It matches the Rfam family "Bacterial small subunit ribosomal RNA", at positions 509 to 807 of the family's 1533-position model. The record is from RNAcentral.